This 64-nucleotide transfer RNA is filed under the name Cavia porcellus (domestic guinea pig). It matches the Rfam family "tRNA", at positions 1 to 62 of the family's 71-position model. From Rfam's summary of the family: Transfer RNA (tRNA) molecules are approximately 80 nucleotides in length. Their secondary structure includes four short double-helical elements and three loops (D, anti-codon, and T loops). Lineage: Eukaryota; Metazoa; Chordata; Mammalia; Rodentia; Caviidae. The record is from Rfam by way of RNAcentral.
GGGGAUUUAGCUCAGCGGCAAGAGCGCCUGCCUUGAAAGCAGGCAGUCGUGAGUUUGAUCCCCA